GACGAACGCUGGCGGCGUGCUUAACACAUGCAAGUCGAACGGAAAGGCCCUGCUUUUGUGGGGUGCUCGAGUGGCGAACGGGUGAGUAACACGUGAGUAACCUGCCCUUGACUUUGGGAUAACUUCAGGAAACUGGGGCUAAUACCGGAUAGGAGCUCCUGCUGCAUGGUGGGGGUUGGAAAGUUUCGGCGGUUGGGGAUGUACUCGCGGCUUAUCAGCUUGUUGGUGGGGUAGUGGCUUACCAAGGCUUUGACGGGUAGCCGGCCUGAGAGGGUGACCGGCCACAUUGGGACUGAGAGAGGGCCCAGACGCCUACGGGAGGCAGCAGUGGGGAAUAUUGCACAAUGGGCGGAAGCCUGAUGCAGCAACGCCGCGUGCGGGAUGACGGCCUUCGGGUUGUAAACCGCUUUCGCCUGUGACGAAGCGUGAGUGACGGUAAUGGGUAAAGAAGCACCGGCUAACUACGUG
RNAcentral lists this ribosomal RNA (468 nucleotides) under uncultured bacterium. Its description in RNAcentral is "partial 16S ribosomal RNA". It matches the Rfam family "Bacterial small subunit ribosomal RNA", at positions 28 to 507 of the family's 1533-position model. The record is from RNAcentral.